UACGGAAGGCAGCAGUGGGGAAUAUUGCACAAUGGGCGCAAGCCUGAUGCAGCCAUGCCGCGUGUAUGAAGAAGGCCUUCGGGUUGUAAAGUACUUUCAGUCGUGAGGAAGGUGUUAAGGUUAAUAACCUUAGCAAUUGACGUUAGCGACAGAAGAAGCACCGGCUAACUCCGUGCCAGCAGCCGCGGUAAUACGGAGGGUGCGAGCGUUAAUCGGAAUUACUGGGCGUAAAGGGCACGCAGGCGGUUAAUUAAGUUGGAUGUGAAAUCCCCGGGCUUAACCUGGGAAUGGCAUUCAAGACUGGUUAGCUAGAGUCUUGUAGAGGGGGUAGAAUUCCAUGUGUAGCGGUGAAAUGCGUAGAGAUGUGGAGGAAUACCGGUGGCGAAGGCGGCCCCUGGGACAAAGACUGACGCUCAUGUGCGAAAGCGUGGGGAGCGAAACAGGA
Molecule: ribosomal RNA, 445 nt
Filed under: uncultured bacterium
Lineage: Bacteria
Description: bacterial SSU rRNA
Rfam family: Bacterial small subunit ribosomal RNA
Source: RNAcentral